GAGUUUGAUCAUGGCUCAGGACGAACGCUAGCGGCAGGCUUAACACAUGCAAGUCGAGGGGUAACAGGGUAGCAAUACCGCUGACGACCGGCAAACGGGUGCGGAACACGUACGCAAUCUACCCUUAUCUGGGGCAUAGCCCGGAGAAAUCCGGAUUAACUCCCCAUAACAUACCAUAAUGGCAUCAUUGAGGUAUUAAAAUUCAUUGGAUAAGGAUGAGCGUGCGUCCCAUUAGCUAGUUGGUAGGGUAACGGCCUACCAAGGCGACGAUGGGUAGCUGGUGUGAGAGCACGACCAGCCACACGGGCACUGAGACACGGGCCCGACUCCUACGGGAGGCAGCAGUGAGGAAUAUUGGUCAAUGGACGCAAGUCUGAACCAGCCAUGCCGCGUGAAGGAUGAAGGCCUUCUGGGUUGUAAACUUCUUUUAUUGGGGAAGAAAAUUACGGUUUCUACUGUAACCGACGGUACCCAAGGAAUCAGCACCGGCUAACUCCGUGCCAGCAGCCGCGGUAAC
This 517-nucleotide ribosomal RNA is filed under the name uncultured Sphingobacterium sp. RNAcentral's name for it is "bacterial SSU rRNA". It matches the Rfam family "Bacterial small subunit ribosomal RNA", at positions 9 to 524 of the family's 1533-position model. Lineage: Bacteria; Pseudomonadati; Bacteroidota; Sphingobacteriia; Sphingobacteriales; Sphingobacteriaceae. The record is from RNAcentral.